Molecule: ribosomal RNA, 469 nt
Filed under: uncultured bacterium
Lineage: Bacteria
Description: bacterial SSU rRNA
Rfam family: Archaeal small subunit ribosomal RNA
Source: RNAcentral
AGUGAAUAGAUACCCGGGUAGUCCCAGCCGUAAACGAUGCUCGCUAGGUGUCAGGCAUGGCGCGACCGUGUCUGGUGCCGCAGGGAAGCCGUGAAGCGAGCCACCUGGGAAGUACGGCCGCAAGGCUGAAACUUAAAGGAAUUGGCGGGGGAGCACAACAACGGGUGGAGCCUGCGGUUUAAUUGGACUCAACGCCGGACAACUCACCGGGGGCGACAGCAAUAUGUAGGCCAAGCUGAAGACUUUGCCUGAAUCGCUGAGAGGAGGUGCAUGGCCGUCGCCAGUUCGUACUGUGAAGCAUCCUGUUAAGUCAGGCAACGAGCGAGACCCGUGCCCACUGUUACCAGCAUGUCCUUUGGGAUGAUGGGUACUCUGUGGGGACCGCCGGUGUCAAAUCGGAGGAAGGUGCGGGCCACGGUAGGUCAGUAUGCCCCGGAAUCUCCCGGGCUACACGCGGGCUACAAUGAAU